CCUACGGGUGGCAGCAGUGAGGAAUAUUGGUCAAUGGGCGCAAGCCUGAACCAGCCAUGUCGCGUGAAGGACGACUGCUCUAUGAGUUGUAAACUUCUUUUGUACGAGGGUAAAGCCCGAUACGGUUAUCGGUUUGAAAGUAUCGUACGAAUAAGGAUCGGCUAACUCCGUGCCAGCAGCCGCGGUAAUACGGAGGAUACAAGCGUUAUCCGGAUUUAUUGGGGUUAAAGGGUGCGUAGGCGGGUGGUUAAGUUAGUGGUGAAAUCCUGGGGAUCAACCCAGGCACUGCCUCUGAUACUGGCGGGCUAGAGUUUAGGUGCGGUAGGCGGAAUGUAUGGUGUAGCGGUGAAAUGCAUAGAGAUCAUGCAGAACACCGAUUGCGAAGGCAGCAUACCAAACCAAGACUGACGUUGAGGCACGAAAGCGUGGGGAGCAAACAGGAUUAGAUACCCGUGUAGUC
This 460-nucleotide ribosomal RNA is filed under the name uncultured bacterium. Its description in RNAcentral is "partial 16S ribosomal RNA". It matches the Rfam family "Bacterial small subunit ribosomal RNA", at positions 338 to 795 of the family's 1533-position model. The record is from RNAcentral.